This is a non-coding RNA of Russula vinacea, 92 nucleotides long. Lineage: Eukaryota; Fungi; Basidiomycota; Agaricomycetes; Russulales; Russulaceae. The record is from the annotation of a GenBank genome assembly.
GGGCGGAUGGCACAGUGGUAGCGCGCUUGCUUCGCAAGCUCCGGCAGGAGUUCCGUUGCAUGAGGUCGUGGGUUCAAACCCCACUUCGUCCA